UUUGCUUGGCUUAAAUUGAAUUUGUCAACCAAAUUAAAGGCUGAUUAUUAUAUUAUUUCAUAUGAUUUGCUUUAAAGUGGUAACUCACAUCAAUUUAAGCCAAGCAAAAGCACUACUGUCAUACACUUUUCAGAAUGGAAGAACUGUAGCCGUUCUUAUCAUCGAAGAACUUUGACCAAAGCAUAAUACCUCCAUACUUAGGUGACUUCUUUAUUUCAGGUAGAAUUCGAGAAGUCAGCACAUUCGGUGGAAUAUAUCCACUUCCGGCUGCCUCAGGAGCUGCCGGCAACCCCAAAAAUAUUUUCCCUGCAUUUAUAGAUGUGGUCCAUCGAUUCCACGAGUUAAUGAUGUUGUUAAUGUUACCUGAGCUAUACUGGCAUGGUGGAUUGUUAUAGAAUUGAACCCAUACAUAGUCAAAAAGACCAGUAUUAAGGGCAGUCCCUAAAUAUCUAUCAGGGAAUGGACAACGAGGAGCUGCAGUUAAAUACACCUUCUUGCCUUGCUUGCUAUAUGCAGAUAAGUAACGUGCAAGAUCGUCCCAGUACAGGGUUGAACCAUGCUCUAUGUCAAAAUCAAUACCAUCCAAUACAGCAUCACCUAAGGGACGGGAAGAAGAUUUUCCACCCAAGAAAUUAUUCCACAAAUAGUCUGCUACGUUUUUUGCAUCAGAUUUAGAGGCCAGGGUGUAGCUUCCAACUCCCCCGCCAAGAGAAAGCAUUACCUUAAUUCCUUGGCUUUGGCAACUCCUGAUGCCAUUGCUAACAGUAGUGCAACCUCCAGCUGCUGGGUUGCAAUGGCCGGCCAGGUUGAUUUCCUGGGGUUUGACCAUUGCCAAAUUUAUUGAGAAAGGCUAUGUUCACAUAAGAAUAUUUGCCGGUGGAGCAUGUUUGUGUUAGAGUUCCUUCGUUGCCGUUUUGACCCCAGUAAACAGCGAUUCCAGCAGCAUGGGAGCUGGGUAUAAUCAAUAAGAUUACUUGGAGAAGGAGGAUGGCUUGGAUUCUUGUGGCCAUUAUUGCCGAGUGAAUGAACACUAG
RNAcentral lists this unclassified non-coding RNA (1034 nucleotides) under Hevea brasiliensis (rubber tree). Lineage: Eukaryota; Viridiplantae; Streptophyta; Magnoliopsida; Malpighiales; Euphorbiaceae. The record is from RNAcentral.